Long non-coding RNA from Micropterus salmoides (largemouth bass), 866 nucleotides. RefSeq lists it as uncharacterized. The transcript is spliced from 2 exons. NCBI's taxonomy places the organism in Eukaryota, Metazoa, Chordata, Actinopteri, Centrarchiformes, Centrarchidae. The record is from RefSeq and is a predicted model, not a curated record.
AGAAAGUCAUACUUUUUAUAUAUAAGAAGAAACAAGAAGCUGUUGUACAAUGAGAGAGCGAUUUUGAUAUUGCAUUAUAUUCAUUUUAUUUUAUAGUAGCCUGUAGCAGUCCAUGUAUUCGCUGAAUGGUAAUUGAGAGAAAUGAUUUGGCCUUGUUUAUAGGUCAGGUUUUGGUAAAGAGUUGGAAGCCUUGUGCAGCUGACAUCCAUUCCACGGAGUGAUGCCAAUCUACACGUUCCAGACGUUUUUCCAGAGCUUUGUGGAUUCCCAGUCUAGGUGGCUGGGUGGCGAGCCAACCGUGUUUGUGACUCUGACUUUAGACGGAUUGCCAGGAUCUUCCUCAUCUUCAUGGUGGUAGGACAAACACUAACACAAACUUAAAAGGGCCCCAACGGUGAGAAAUGAACUCUUGUCAAUAAAGGCAAGUGGAACUGAGCUCAACAAAGUUAAAAGGAAAGUUUUUUUUGUGCGCACUUUAUUAUUUUAGUUUGUUAUUUUUCAUACCUGCUUUCUUAUGUAUGUACCAUCCCUGUGUAUUUAAUACACUUAAUGCAAACUGUCAUUCGGGUGUGGUAUUCUUUUUAUUGACAUUCAAUUCUCAGGCUCUUAACAAUUUAGUGACUUCUGAUUCUGGUCCACAUUGAUGAUAAGACUACUUUAGACUAUUACACCUAUGUACAUUAUUACUACCUCGUGAUAAGGGUUACACCAUUCUUUCUCACCCUUCUCUGUCCUUUUUACUUGUGUCCUGUUUUUCAGGGUCCCAUCAUAAUUUCUUAAGAAGCUGCCAUGUUAAAAAAAAUAUUUUGUGCCGCCAUGCUGUUUGUUGAUGUGGUAAAUAAAUAGUUUAUGAAAAUACCACUAAA